GGCGUCUUCGAGCCGCACGAGAUUGAGCAA
Molecule: small RNA, 30 nt
Filed under: Bombyx mori (domestic silkworm)
Lineage: Eukaryota; Metazoa; Arthropoda; Insecta; Lepidoptera; Bombycidae
Description: ovarian small RNA-17449
Source: RNAcentral